UACGUAGGGGGCAAGCGUUGUCCGGAUUUAUUGGGCGUAAAGAGCGUGUAGGCGGUUUGGUAGGUCCGCUGUGAAAACUCGAGGCUCAACCUCGAGACGCCGGUGGAAACCAUCAGACUAGAGUCCGGAAGAGGAGAGUGGAAUUCCUGGUGUAGCGGUGAAAUGCGCAGAUAUCAGGAAGGACACCCGUGGCUAAGGCGGCUCUCUAGUACGGUACUGACGCUGAGACGCGAAAGCGUGGGGAGCGAACAGG
Molecule: ribosomal RNA, 253 nt
Filed under: uncultured bacterium
Lineage: Bacteria
Description: partial 16S ribosomal RNA
Rfam family: Bacterial small subunit ribosomal RNA
Source: RNAcentral